Molecule: long non-coding RNA, 2591 nt
Organism: Ornithorhynchus anatinus (platypus)
Lineage: Eukaryota; Metazoa; Chordata; Mammalia; Monotremata; Ornithorhynchidae
Exons: 9
Source: RefSeq, a predicted model, not a curated record
GAAGGAUGAGGGCUUUUAUUACUUCGUAAUGGUUAUAAAAUCUGCAUCAGCCUUCCAUCUAGGAAGCUAAGAAGCUGUCAAUAGCAAUCAUCACCCUGCGAAUAGGAAGGAGGGGGAGGGAGACAAAGAGAGGAAGAGAGAGAGAGAGAGAAAGACAGACUGUGGAGUGCCUUUUCUCAGUUACUCUUUUUUUAGAUUUCAACAUGCCCUUUUGUGGUAAUUUGCUAUUUGAGUCCCAAGACUUUGAAUCACUUCCUAAUUCAAAUCCUAGAUUCUUCCCAAAAUGUCGUUCUUGACUCCCACCUCCUCCAGUGACACAGAAUUCAAAAUGAAAACAAAAUUUAAGCAGAUGGCAUGAGACGAGUAGCAGCAACCUGAUUGACAUCCUGGAACAUUUUAAUCCAAUGUGCACUCUGAUGCAAAAGAGAUGGAUUCAGAACAAAACAGAAAGCAUUCACAUUGAACAUCAGGGAGGUUUGCUUCCCUUCUUUAUUCUGUACUUCCCAAGUGCCAACUUCUGUGCACUGUACUAACUGGGCUCUCAAUAAAUGCUAUGAUUACUACUACUUUGGAAUUAAUAAAAAUGAGUAUCACCUUAAGUUUCCAAAGAUAGCUGGCUGACAGUGCUUGGAAGACUCACCCCCACCUCUCAUUUUCACACUUUCUGUCUUUCUUAGGAUGUUUGUUAACUCGCAUCUAGAGGAGCUAGGAUUCCACAUUUUAUUUGUCUUUCAGCACCAAGAGAAGAGAGCAGAUUGAAGAGGUAUUAGGCGGUCCAGUUUUAUUCAUCACAACUUCUCUCAGAGAGUGGCUUCUGCCAUUUUUUCAUUCCGUCUUCAAGUAGCCCCACCGAGGAAAAUGCCAGAGGCUUAUUGAAGUUUGCCUGCACCCUUCUCUUUAUCCAACAUAUCCUUUAAGGGAGGCUUAAGAAAAGGAGAUUGUGUCCUAUACAAGCAAGGAUACAAGGCUGCUCUGAUGCCACCAAGAUUGAUUGAAAAGACCCAGCUCUUCCUCCAAAAGCGAUACAAAUUCUACACAUUCUUGACAUUUCUCUGCUGAAUUUGAAGUCUAGACCAAGAGGUUUGUUGACCCUGCAAAUGGAAAGUAAGGCAGAGCCAGAAAACUAGGAACAACCUGAGAAUGAAGUAGCUGAUGCCUUCUCUUUUAUUGAAGGGGACACUGCCAACUAUGUUUAGAUCGUUACGGAGAGGGAUUCAGUGAAAUAAGAACUUCCGAGGUGAAAGCUGACUCCUGAGGCCCUGGAUGACAAUGGGGAUCUGACUUGUUGCAUGGCUGAAACUGAAGAGCUUCUCAGAUGAAGCAACUGAGGCACAGAGAAGUUAAGUGAUUUGCUCCAAGUCACACAGUAGACAAGUGGAGGAGCCGAGACAUCAACCCAGCUUCCAGGCUAUGUUCUCUCUACUUUUGGAAGAAUGAAAGCUCAUCAUGGAACUGCCUUGCUGAAGGACAAUAUCAGUCACAGAUGAUCUGGAAUAUGAAACUGAUUGGGAUGCCAGAAGAUACUUAGUGGACACAAUCCGGAUGAGCCAAGGAAGGAGAGGCCACCAAUAGCUUCUGGGAAAAGGAGGAAGGGGCAAAGAAAUGCUCUAUGGAUCCAGUUGAUAUUUAUAUUUGGAAAGUUCCUUCACUGAACCAUUAUUCAGGGAAUUGGAGAUAUGGAAAACCUACAUGAGAUAAUGCAACUGAAGAUGGAAUCUGAUUUAUAUAAGUAAGCAUGGCUAAGAAGAUAGUUGGGUGACAGAGUUUGCAAGAAGAAGCUGCUCUUCCUUUGAGAAUGGGAGAUUUUUCAUCUGUCCCAAUGGACAUGGACAGUCCAUAUAUUGCUAAUGGCUUGUCUCUUGAUCAUUCUUCCAUUAAAUCAUAUUGAGGUAGAUCCACCAUUCUGUGGGCAUGUUUGAAGCAAAAGCGCUCCUUAUCAUCCCCUGCUGAAGCUGCUGAGCUCCUCAAGAGGACACUGCUGAAGCUGCUGAGCUCCUCAAGAGGACACAGAUGAGCACCCGGAGAAUGGGAAAUUGUGCUUGUUUUGGGGGAUGUGAGCAGGCUCUAGAGGAAAGAAGAAUGAGUUUCUGCUUGCAGUUUAGCAGCUCAAGAAAACUGGAGCAGUUUGUGCCUCUUGCUGGCAAUACAGAAACAUUAUAAUUGUCUUUUAGCACCAGGGCUGUGGAAGAACCAGGCCCUGUAGCAUUGUGAUGGUGGCUUCUGUUUUGGCUGGAGAUGAAUAAGUGUAUAAAUGACCAACCUGGGCACUUGUCCUGGGACUAAAACCCCUGCAGAUAGGUGAUUAGAAACUUCAUUCAUAUUUAAGAAUAUGCUCCUAUCAACCACCAAGGGAGAAUCAUUCCCUAGAAUGGUCUAGAAUUUUGGGAACAUUUUAUGACCUAAAUGUGUAUUUAGCAGGGGCUAGUCUGCUGAUCCUUAUGGAUUUUCUUGACCUCCCAGUAGGUGAUUCAUGACAGGGUUAAUCACUUUGGUAAUGAUGCACAACUGGGCUUGUCUCCUGCUUUGCAGCUUUUGUUGAGGGGCAUUCAGGGAAUAGGGACCAUACAGAUAAUAAAAUGCACAAAAAACUG